Molecule: microRNA, 23 nt
Filed under: Schmidtea mediterranea
Lineage: Eukaryota; Metazoa; Platyhelminthes; Tricladida; Dugesiidae
Description: sme-miR-2148-3p
Source: miRBase by way of RNAcentral
AUACUGGCCCACAAAAUUUCUUU